This 240-nucleotide ribosomal RNA is filed under the name marine bacterium SIMO-IS222. RNAcentral's name for it is "partial 16S ribosomal RNA". It matches the Rfam family "Bacterial small subunit ribosomal RNA", at positions 35 to 262 of the family's 1533-position model. Lineage: Bacteria; Pseudomonadati; Pseudomonadota; Gammaproteobacteria. The record is from RNAcentral.
GCUGGCGGCGUGCCUAAUACAUGCAAGUCGAGCGAACAGAAAAGGAGCUUGCUCCUUUGACGUUAGCGGCGGACGGGUGAGUAACACGUGGGCAACCUACCCUAUAGUUUGGGAUAACUCCGGGAAACCGGGGCUAAUACCGAAUAAUCUCUUUUGCUUCAUGGCAAGAGACUGAAAGACGGCAUCUCGCUGUCGUUAUAGGAUGGGCCCGCGGCGCAUUAGCUAGUUGGUGAGGUAACG